RNAcentral lists this small nuclear RNA (104 nucleotides) under Cervus hanglu yarkandensis (Yarkand deer). Lineage: Eukaryota; Metazoa; Chordata; Mammalia; Artiodactyla; Cervidae. The record is from RNAcentral.
UCAGCAGCAUAUAUACUAAAAAAAAAAAAAAUGGAACGAUACAGAGAUUAGCAUAGCUCCUGUACAAGCAUGACAUGCACAUUCAUGAAUCAUUCCAUAUUAAA